CUGGAUCCAGAACACGCUAUAGUGCUUGCUACAAAGAAAUUGGCAGUGCCUCCAAAACCUGCAAAUAGGGCUGGGCGGGGAAUAAAAUGUCUGACGUAACAGAUUUUUCAAUUCCGCGGAAUGCAAAUAAGUGGGCGUGGCCAACUCUGCCCUCCAGCAUGUUAGACUGAGUGUGACGGAGAAACAUGUAAAAUAGUUCACUUAUAAAAAAUGAACGAGUUAUUUGUGUAAUUUUUAUAAUAAGUGCCAGUGAAUCCACCGCGGGUCAUGCAGCAGCCGGCCAGUCUCUCGCGUGCAGAGGUCUCUAGGCAAGCACAAGGAGCUGCGACGCCAAAUAAAGAGUUCUUCUCGAACUCGAAUGCUAAUAGUCGUAAAGUUUUCUGAACUUUAAGCAAGCUAAGACAAAACUCCCGUUUAUAUCAGUGACACGUGCGCUGCUGGAGCGAUGUAGUUUGACGCGCCAUUUGCUUACAAACAUAUUUGAUCGGAAAGACGAGAAAAAGAUGCAAAUGUUAAGGUCUAAUAGAAAGUAAAGGGUGUCAAAACCUUAAAACAAACUUUAUGAUCAUCACAUCAUAGCACAUGUCACAUUUAUAAUAUCUAGAGCUUCUUCUCUCAUAUACAGGUAUAGUAUUUAUCCUGUCUGUAGGUUUUUGCAUAUAUUUAUACAUGUUCAUUUUACAUAUUGCAUAUGUUUAAUGUAAUAUAUGCAUAAAUACAAAAUACAAUGAAGCCUGCCAUACUAUAGCUUCAAUAGUCUAUAAAAUUAAUAACUCAAUUAAAAACAAGAUUCUGUUUAAUCAAGACUUAUCUGUUGUUAUCUUCUGGGCAUUUUCACUUUAACAUUAUUAACUUUAAAUUGCUCAUAUUUUAAAAACUGUGGUGAGCAUUUAGUUAAAAGCUAUAGUGAGUGGUGUAAAUAAAUUUUUAUCAUCAAAAAACAAUAUAAACUGAAAAACAUUUAUACCGUGAAAUAUUCCGUUCCAUGAAAUAAAAUAACUCAUUCCGUGAAAUAGAUUUUUGGUCAUUCCGCCCACCCCUACCUGCAAAUACUGUGGAGUAAAGAUUAUACAAAAGAAAAAACUUGGAAGCCCCAAAAGUAAAAUUUGAUGAUCAGUGGGCAAAAUUAUGAACUGUGUGGACUUGCUUCUUCGUAAGAUGGAAUUACUGGGCUUCUCUCCAAUGCUCUUUAUUACAACGCAGAGAGGCCCGCAUCGCUCCACAAAAAACGUCAACGUUCAGAGGCAUCAUUCAGUACCAGUCAUGCAGAGACUUUAUGAGGCUGUUGUAAGAGGCAUUUAUGUGUACACAUGCAUUUACCAAUUGAAAAACUUUUUGUAUUAUAAUGGUCUUUUUUCACAGAUUGUGAUGAUGCAUUUCCACAGUUAUUAACAUGCCUAUCCCCUGUAUGUCAUCGAUGCGCUACUUCAAAGAUGUGAGGAAAAGAACAUACACCUGCGAGUAGUCUGUUACAUUGCCUGUGUUAUUGCCUCACAUUUGCAGAAAUCAGGUGAGGGCAUAUCACACAACAUUGCCUUGGCCGUACCAGCAUUUCAUGUUUAUGGACACAAAUUGCCCUGCCAGAUCAAGUACAGAACCAGAUGGCUUGAUGAGUUUGGGCUCACAGACGGGGAAGGAAUGGAAAGGCUGUGGUCUUUCCUCCAAAGAUUUGCCAGAGUCACAAAGGAGAUGACUCCAUCUCAUCGCCUUGACCUACUGACUGAUGCCCUUUUGCAUUAUGGACGGAGGAAAUCAACUGACCUAGAGGUGCAGCUCCUGCAAAGAAUAGACAAAGCAGAGAAAAUAUUGAUUCUCGCUCCUCAAGAAGAUAUCUCAUCUGUCAUCAGAGAGGCAUCAGGUAAACAAUGCACAUAAGAAGCAGUGUUGAUUUCUGAAGGAGACAUGGAGAGAUGGAAAAAGCUAGCCCAACAGAAACCAAUAAACACUGUCUGUAGAUGGAAAAGGGACUACAUCAUCAGACUGAUUCAGUUCUACAAGUUCAAAAUUGAGGACUCUGCUGAACAUUGAGGAAAAAAUACCGUAUCGGGAGAAGAUGGCAAGAGUCUGAUUCAAACUUCCAGUCUACCCUUAAAGAUGUGGACCGUGAGCUCAGAGUCCAACUGCAAGGCUAGAACUGAAUCAAGGGAGAGAGCAGUCGUCCUCCACCUGAGACGAAUAUAUCCAGCUUUGCUUCAGAUGGGCAGGGCAUUGCCAUUAGACUCUCCAAGCAGGUAGCCAAUUGAUUUUCAGGAAUCAUGUGAUCCCUCUUGGCAUGUCUACUUCUGCUUUAAUGACACUAUUGAAGAAGAUGAUGUUUCGAUGAGUCUAAAAAGGCGAGGGAUUGAUGCCUUACAUAUGAAGACUCGGGCAGCUGAGGAAAAGUGCAUGCUUUACCAGGAAAUGAGAAGUCUAAGUGGCCAGUCACACCAAAAGCGUUUAUGGCUGUUGCAGGCGCCUUUUUUGAAUGAUAUUCUAUGGGCAGGGCGCGUUUGCGCGCUGUUUAUGCGCGCCGAGCGCCUUGCGUUUUUGAAGGAGCGCUGAGAGCGGAGAAGCGCCGACGUCAUUCGGGUCUUUCCAUUGUCCAAUCGAAUGAGGGGAGAGGCGGGCCUUACGUUGUGGUGAGUGAAGUUUACAGUUGCUUUGAAGAACCGGACUCCACUCGCUCACUCUCUCCUGCAUGUUUGUGCACCUCUCACCCCCAAACAAGGUCAGAGCAAGCGUCAUCUUUUUAAAGUUUCUGUUAAUAUGACAGUUAACAGCAAAAGAGCGCUCACACUUCAAUAUUUGAUUGACAAGACAGCUGACUCGGUGGUUGCUUAGCAAUAUGAAAAGCCGCGUCGCACUGCUCUUUUUUUCGCGCCUUGCGUUUGCAAGCGUUUAAAGCGCUUUUGGUGUGACCGGCCCCUAACUGAACACCCCAUCAGCAGCAGGCCUCUAACAUUUGUGCUCUAACAUCAAAGACACUGAGCAGCCUGGUGCAAAAGCUGCUCUCAUUCAACACGUCCAACACCUGGAAAGAAAACUACAUCAAGCCAUUGUGAUGUUUCACCCACAGACAACCCCCACUUGUGUCAGGCCCUCCCGAUGCCAAGCAUACAGACACUGGUAUACAAUGAUAAGAGUGAUAAUGAUGAAAAUGUGGAUAAAUAUGAUAACUAGCACUACAGAUUUUUUGUUAAUUUCUAGUCUGAUAUUGUAUUCUGUAAAAAGAAAGAUGUAAAAUGGUUAGUAUAUGUUGCAGCAUAUCAUAGAAACCUUUAUGGUGGUGUAAUAUAAUGUUCGCCUUACUUGUGCAAACAUGAUGUUUUACUAGGUCUGAUUUAUUUUAAAGCGUAGGUACUGUUUUUAAGCACACAUAUUCACACUAGUCUGUGUGAGGACAAAAUUGUGUGUUUACCAUUGUGAUGUUACUUAUUUACUGUAAUGUACAAAUGUGGUCAAUGUGUGUAAGGUGUUUUGUUUUUGAAUCCUUUGAAACAAAUACUGUAAAAGUUUGUAAAAAAUAAAAAGUUUUCCACAAUGAGUUAUAAUCAUGAUUUCAGCUAUUGUCACAGCACACUUUAGAGGUAAAUGAAUUGUGAUGAACUUAAUAAAUGACUUAUGAUUUAUUUUACAGUCA
This is a non-coding RNA of Misgurnus anguillicaudatus (oriental weatherfish), 3619 nucleotides long. Lineage: Eukaryota; Metazoa; Chordata; Actinopteri; Cypriniformes; Cobitidae. The record is from RefSeq and is a predicted model, not a curated record.